AUAUAAGAAGACAAAA
This 16-nucleotide small RNA is filed under the name Arabidopsis thaliana (thale cress). RNAcentral describes it as "ATSL303990". The record is from RNAcentral. Lineage: Eukaryota; Viridiplantae; Streptophyta; Magnoliopsida; Brassicales; Brassicaceae.